GGUUAAGCGACUAGCGUACGGUGAAUGCCCCUGGCAGUCCAGAAGGCGAUGAAGGGCGUGCUAAUCUGCGAUAGCGCCGGUAAGGUGAUAUGAACCGUUACUUAACCGGCGUGCGAAUACAGAAGCAUUGUGACUCGUCACACUAUCGUAUGAAUCCAUAGGUUAAUAUGAGGCGAACCGGAACUGAAACAUCUAAAUUUUGAGGAAAAAUCAGCCGAGAUUCCCCAGUAGCGGCGAGCGAGCAGGGGAGGCAGAGCCUGAAUCAGCAUGUGUGUUGAGUGGAAGCGUCUGGAAAGGCGCGCGAUACGGGUGACAACCCCGUACACAAAAGCGCAUGUGCUGGCGAGCUCCGACGUGAGCGGACACGUGGUAUCCCUGUCUGAAUAUAGGGGGACCAUCACUCCAAGGCUAAAUACUCCUGACUGACCGAUAGUGAACCAGUACCGUGAGGAAAGGCGAAAAGAACGGCGAGGAGUGAAAAAGAACCUGAAACCGUGUACGUACAACGGUAGAGGCCCCACCGCAAAAGCGUUUUGCUUUUGUGGUGCACAAGCAGCGGCAGCACUGAAUGACGGUUAACGGGCGCAAGCGACGUUCAACAUACAAAGUCAAGCUUGAUGGGCGGCGCUUUUGGGGGUAGAGGUGACUGCGUACCUUUUAUAUAAUAGGUCAGCAACUUAUAUUCUGCUUGCCAAGGUUAACCGAAUAGAGGCGGAGGAAACCGAGUCUUAACCGGGCGUUAAAUUUGCAGAACAGGCCCGAGCAGUGAUGAUCUACAGCCGCCAUAGGCAGAGUUGAAGAUUUGAGUAACACACUAGCACGGGAGGACCGAACCGACUAAUGUUGAAAAAUUAGCGGAUGACCUGUGGCUGGUGAAAGGCCAAUCGCAAACCGGGAAGUAGCGGACUUCUCCCCGAAAGCUAUUUAGGUAGCGCCUCGUGAAUUCAUCUCCGGGGUAGAGCACUGUUCAGCUAGAGGCCAUCCCGGCUUACCAACCCGAUGCAAACUGCGAAUACCGGAAGGAGAAUAUUUAUCACAGGAAGACACGGCAGGUAUAACGUCCGUCGUGAAAGAGCAGCAGACCGCCAGCUAAGGUCCCAAAGUCAUGGUUAAGUGGGAAACGUGUGGGAAGGCCCGAACAGCGGGAUAUUUGGCUUAGAAGCGGCGGCCGCCAAUUUUAAAGAAAGCGUAAUAGCUCACUGCGUUAGUCGGCCUGCGCGGAAAGAUGUAACGGGGCGCUAAACGCACCAGGCUGCGGCAGCAGGCAAUAUCACCCAAAGACAACUUGCAGGUUGACGAUUGACGGGCGCUGACAUCCAAAGCGUUCAUUAAAGUCGGGGUGGCGAGGAUACGUUCUAGAUGAGUGAAAGCGGUGUAAGCCUGCGAAGGUGGCCUGUGAGGGUUGCUGGAGGUAUCAGAAGUGCGGAAAUACUGACAUAAAUGGCGCGAUAAAGCGGGUGAAAAAGCGCUACGCCGGAAGACCAAAGGUUCCUGUCCAACGUUAAUCGGGGCAGAGGUGAGUCGACCCUAAAGGCGAGGCCGAAGGCGUAGUCGAUAGGAAGCAGGUUAACAGUAUUCCCGUACUUGAGUAUUGCGAAGGGGACGGAGAGAGCUAUGUUGGCCGGAGCGACGGUUGUCCCGGUUUAGCGAUGUGGGGUGUGUUCGAGUAGAAGCUCCGUUCACUUUAACACUGAGGCGUGAUGACGAGGCACUACGGUGCUGAAGCAGCAAAUGCCCUGCUUCGAGGAAAAGCCUCCUAAGCAUCAGUAACGCAUCAAAUCGUACUGACGACACAGGUGGUCAGGAGUAGAAAUACCAGGCGCUUGAGAGAACUUUCAGGUGAGAAGGAACUAGGCAAAAUAGUGCCGUAACUUCGGGAGAAGAGCACGCUGACACGUAGGUAGUGAUUUACUCAUGAGCUGAAGUCAGUCGAAGAUACCAGCUGGCUGCAACUGUUUAGUAAAAAACACAGCACUGUGUGCAAACACGAAAGUGGACGUAUACAGGUGACUUUGCCCGGUGCCGGAAGGUUAAUUGAUACCAGGGUCAGCGCAAGCGAAGCUCUGAUCGAAAGCCCCGGUAAGCAGCGGCGCCAACUAUAACGGUCCUAAGGUAGCGAAUUCACUUGUCCGGGCGGGUUUGACCUGCACGAAUGGCGUAAUGAUGGCGGUAAUAUACACGCCCGAGACUUUCAGUGAAAUUGAACUCGCUGUGAAGAUGCAAUUGUACCCGCGGCAAGACGGAAAGACCCGUGAACCUUUACUAUAGCUUGACACUGAACAUUGAGCCUUGAUGUGUAGGAUAGGUGGGAGGCUUUGAAGUGUGGACGCCAGUCUGCAUGGAGCCGACCUUGAAAUACCCUGCACAAUGUUUGAUGUUCCUAACGUGGACCCGUUACCCGGGUUGCGGACGGUGUCUGGUGGAGUAGUUUGACUGGGGCGUUCUCCUCUAAAGAGUAACGGAGGGCACGAAGGUUGGCCCAAUCUUUGGUCGGACAUCAGGAGGUUAGUGCAAUGGCAUAAGCCAGCUUGACUGCGAGCGUGACGGCGCGAGCAGGUGCGAAAGCUGGAGUCAUAGUGAUCGGUGGUUUUGAAUGGAAGGGCCAUCGCUCAACGGAUAAAAGGUACUCCGGGGAUAACAGGCUGAUACCGCCCAGAGUUCAUAUCGACGGCGGUGUUUGGCACCUCGAUGUCGGCUCAUCACAUCCUGGGGCUGAAGUAGGUCCCAAGGGUAUGGCUGUUCGCCAUUUAAAGUGGUACGCGAGCUGGGUUUUAGAACGUCGUGAGACAGUUCGGUCCCUAUCUGCCGUGAGCGCUUCUGGAGAACUGAGGGGGCUGCUCCUAGUACGAGAGAGGACCGGAGUGGACGCAUCACUGGUGUUCAGGUUGUCAUGCCAAUGGCACUGCCCGGUAGCUAAACCGCGGAAGAGAUAAGUGCUGAAAGCAUCUAAGCACGAAACUGCCCCGAGAUGAGUUCUCCCUGGACUUGAGUCCCUGAAGGAACGUUGAACGACGACGUUGAUAGGCCGGGUAUUAAUGGCGCAGCGUGCGUUGAGCUAACCGGUACUAAUGAACCGUGGGAAGCUUAACCUU
Molecule: ribosomal RNA, 3092 nt
Filed under: Salmonella enterica subsp. enterica
Lineage: Bacteria; Pseudomonadati; Pseudomonadota; Gammaproteobacteria; Enterobacterales; Enterobacteriaceae
Description: 23S ribosomal RNA
Rfam family: Bacterial large subunit ribosomal RNA
Source: RNAcentral